Non-coding RNA from Paramuricea clavata, 591 nucleotides. The record is from the annotation of a GenBank genome assembly. Lineage: Eukaryota; Metazoa; Cnidaria; Anthozoa; Malacalcyonacea; Plexauridae.
GCAAAAUUAAGGCAUUCUACGAACAUAAACACUUUAAAAUUACUGUACUAUGCAUUAAUAUAUCCUUACCUUACAUAUGGAAAUUUAUCUUGGGGUUGCACAUACCCAACUACAAUUCUAAGGGCCUGUUUAUAUGAUCCCGCCUAGACGGGACGGGACGUUUUCAUCCCACCUAGACGGGAUACUCGCCUAGUGUUUAUAUGGACAAAAUACAUUGCCGGGAUGAAGCCAUUUAAGUGCUUGACGUCAUAUUUUUGUUGCAAUAAAGGCAUUUACGCAUGCUCAAAAGGGAAAAAUUCAUCCCGCCUAGCCAGGAUGAAGUGUUUAUAUGGGAAUUUUUCGUCCCGGCUAGGCGGGAUGAAGUGUUUAUAUGGGAAUUUUUCAUCUCGCUCAGGCGGGAUCCCGGCAUCUGUUGCCGAGAUCCCGUCUAGGCGGGAUAAGUGGCGGGAUCAUAUAAACACUCUUCAGAAUUUGCAUUACGAGCGGGAUCUCGGUAAGCAUCCCAUCCCGCCUGGCCGGGAUCAUAUAAACAGGCCCUAUAAGUUUAUACAAAUUACAAAAGAAGUUAGUUCGAAUUAUGAUGUUUAAAUC